Alnus glutinosa is the source of this 1481-nucleotide long non-coding RNA. RefSeq lists it as uncharacterized. The transcript has 4 exons. The record is from RefSeq and is a predicted model, not a curated record. NCBI's taxonomy places the organism in Eukaryota, Viridiplantae, Streptophyta, Magnoliopsida, Fagales, Betulaceae.
UGGUAGGUGGCCUGGUCAAUAGGCAACUUUAUCCAUGUGAUCAAUAUGAUAUUGGUUCUCUCUUUUCCCUGUUGUCUAGAACUGGCUAAGCCAUUGAUUCUUGUUACUGCCUCAUUCAUUGUCUGUACAUUCAUAUAUCUAUCUCUAACCUACUGGCUAAGCUAAUGAUAGUUGCACUUUUAUUUUUGUAACAAUGGUUCACAUUUUGUGUUCAAUCAAUGUAUGAUUGGUUAGAUGUGUGUAUACAAGAGUUUUAUGGUCCAUAUUAACUGAUGGAAGCAGAGUGUUAUACAUGGCUGUCAUUCUUGUUGUCUUUUCUUUCUAUAAUCUAAAUUUAGUGAUUAUUUUUACUAUGGUUUUCUUAGGAAAAGUGAAUUCCUGCCUUCUUCUCCUUUAAUCAAUUUUCUCCCUAAAUCUUGUUUCUUUGGCAGAACGAUGAUGUAACUGCUGCAAUUCAAAAGGUUGCCGCUGCUUAUGAUUGCAAAAUUGUUGAAGGUGUUCUUUGCCAUCAACUGAAGCAGUUUGUGAUAGAUGGUAGCAAGGUUGUAUAGAGUGUAUCUGGUCCCGAAACAAGAGUUGAAGUUGCGGAAUUUGAGGAGAAUGAAGUUUAUGCUGUUGAUAUUGUAACAAGCACAGGUGAGGGCAAGGUAAUUAUGGAGUCAAUAUUAACUUAAUAUGCCAUUUCUGCGCACUGUUCUAUUGAGUCCUCAAAUUCGUUUUUAUGGGAUUUUCAGCCUAAGCUGUUGGAUGAGAAACAGACGACUAUUUAUAAGAGAGCCGUUGACAGGAACUAUAACUUGAAGAUGAAAGCAUCUAGGUUUAUUUUCAGUGAAAUAAAUCAGAAAUUUUCUAUCAUACCAUUCACAGCUAGGACUCUUGGAGGCGAAGAGGGGUCGGCUGGGUUUUGUGGAAUGUGUUCUUCAUAAGAAGCCCGGUGAUUAUGUUGCUCAAAUAAAAUUCACAAUUUUGCUAAUGCCAAAUGGUUCAGAUAUAGUCACAUCUCAUCCACUGCAGGAGCUGCUGCGCAAAAAGACGAUAAAUCAUCCUGAAAUCAAGGCCUGGUUUAUGUAAUGGAAUUGGUAGUGGAAUGAAGAAGACAAAGAAUAAAGGUGCUGGAAAGAAGGAGAAAGGUAAAAGAAGUGACAAAGCUGAGUCGUCAACAGAAUCUGAGCCUAUGGAUGCAACAACAAACGGUGCAGUGCUGCUUCUCAUCCCAAGAUUGAGUCUUUUUUUUUUUUUUUUUUUUUCUCUUGCUUUUUUCAACCCCCUAGUGAAUUUUGGCACUUUUUCAACCUUGGUACUCCUAUCCUAUGAUAGCAGUAGUGUAAUUAAAAUUGAUUCCAGUUCCAACCGUAAAUCAUCAAACUUGUUAGGGCAUUGGCUUUCACUUGCUCUUAUUGGAUGUGUACCUUUAGCGGUAGCACCAUCUAUACAUGGCCUUGUAAAGUAAAAUUCCAUUAAAAAUGGUGAAUUUUCAGUGU